RNAcentral lists this ribosomal RNA (413 nucleotides) under uncultured bacterium. Its description in RNAcentral is "bacterial LSU rRNA". It matches the Rfam family "Bacterial large subunit ribosomal RNA", at positions 2005 to 2411 of the family's 2925-position model. The record is from RNAcentral.
UGAGAGGAGCACUGUCUACAACGGAGGGACUCGGACGAACAUUAGAGGACGUGUGAAGAUACACGUGACCCGCAGCGGGACAAAAAGACCCCGUGAAGCUUUACUACAACUUGCCAUUGAGUUAGGGCUAAACUUGUGUAGAAUAGGUGGGAGGCUUUGAAGCUGGGACGCCAGUCUCGGUGGAGCCACCGUUGAAAUACCACCCUGGUUUAGUCUUGGCUCUAACCUGUCGCCGUUAUCCGGCAUGGGAACAGUGGCUGGUGGGUAGUUUGACUGGGGCGGUCGCCUCCGAAAGCGUAGCAGAGGCGCCCAAAGGUUCCCCUCAGGCUGAAUGGAAACCAGCCGUUGAGUGUAAAGGCACAAGGGAGCUUGACUGCAAGACCUACAAGUCGCGCGAGGGACGAAAGUCGGGC